Molecule: ribosomal RNA, 463 nt
Filed under: uncultured bacterium
Lineage: Bacteria
Description: bacterial SSU rRNA
Rfam family: Bacterial small subunit ribosomal RNA
Source: RNAcentral
CAGGCCUAACACAUGCAAGUCGAACGGUGAAGCCAAGCUUGCUUGGUGGAUCAGUGGCGAACGGGUGAGUAACACGUGAGCAACCUGCCCUGGACUCUGGGAUAAGCGCUGGAAACGGUGUCUAAUACUGGAUAUGAGCCUCUUCCGCAUGGUGGGGGUUGGAAAGAUUUUUCGGUCUGGGAUGGGCUCGCGGCCUAUCAGCUUGUUGGUGAGGUAAUGGCUCACCAAGGCGUCGACGGGUAGCCGGCCUGAGAGGGUGACCGGCCACACUGGGACUGAGACACGGCCCAGACUCCUACGGGAGGCAGCAGUGGGGAAUAUUGGACAAUGGGCGCAAGCCUGAUCCAGCAAUGCCGCGUGAGUGAUGAAGGCCUUAGGGUUGUAAAGCUCUUUUACCCGGGAUGAUAAUGACAGUACCGGGAGAAUAAGCUCCGGCUAACUCCGUGCCAGCAGCCGCGGUAAU